CACUUACUUAGCUGAAAAAUAUUUACAAAAAAAUUGAUGGGCCUAAUAUAGAUCAUGGAACCCAAGAGUUAAUCUGAGUUUUCAUUACCUAACAGUAGUUAUAGUGAUAGAAAAAAAAAAAAAAAAAAACACAGUAGAGACAAAUAUAAUCCCCUGGAUCGGUAUUAACAUUCAAGAAAAACAAACUUAGCAUUCUCGAAAAUCAAGUAUCAACGCGAGAAAAAACUGAAAGGGAUUCGUGUGAGAGUUAUACGACUCGAAACGAACAGCAACGCUAGCAUUAAUAUCCGAUAAAGUUUAAACAAAAAACUAAUCCAUCCAAACACCAUCCUUAACUUGAAUUCAACAUCAACUUUCUUAGGGUAGUAGAUACAUAACCGCAACAAAAAGGUUAAUCCUGCUAGUUUCCAGAACCCGUGAUUUCAAUGAAUUUGAAAAUUGAAAAUGAAAUCAUAACAGCACACAAACACAGCUCAUUCAAGACAUCAUGUAAAUUAAAGUAGCUAUCCUAUAAUAACGAAUUGGAAACCAUAGUAACAACAGAUACACAGUAAAGCUUCUCCAAAUAUACCCAACAACUCUCAAUAACCAAGCUUAUGGCAAAUGACAUUGAACUUCUA
RNAcentral lists this long non-coding RNA (620 nucleotides) under Lathyrus oleraceus (garden pea). RNAcentral describes it as "Pisum sativum (pea) long non-coding RNA (PSAT_LNC040242)". Lineage: Eukaryota; Viridiplantae; Streptophyta; Magnoliopsida; Fabales; Fabaceae. The record is from RNAcentral.